This 460-nucleotide ribosomal RNA is filed under the name uncultured bacterium. Its description in RNAcentral is "partial 16S ribosomal RNA". It matches the Rfam family "Bacterial small subunit ribosomal RNA", at positions 338 to 795 of the family's 1533-position model. The record is from RNAcentral.
CCUACGGGUGGCAGCAGUGAGGAAUAUUGGUCAAUGGGCGCGAGCCUGAACCAGCCAAGUAGCGUGAAGGAUGACUGCCCUACGGGUUGUAAACUUCUUUUAUAAAGGAAUAAAGUGUAGCACGUGUGCCCUUUUGUAUGUACUUUAUGAAUAAGGAUCGGCUAACCCCGCGCCAGCAGCCGCGGUAAUACGGAGGAUCCGAGCGUUAUCCGGAUUUAUUGGGUUUAAAGGGAGCGUAGAUGGGUUGUUAAGUCAGUUGUGAAAGUUUGCGGCUCAACCGUAAAAUUGCAAUUGAUACUGGCAGUCUUGAGUACAGUUGAGGUAGGCGGAAUUCGUGGUGUAGCGGUGAAAUGCGUAGAUAUCACGAAGAACUCCGAUGGCGAAGGCAGCUUACUAGACUGACACUGACGUUGAUGCUCGAAAGUGUGGGUAGCAAACAGGAUUAGAUACCCGAGUAGUC